CCUACGGGAGGCAGCAGUGGGGAAUCUUGCGCAAUGCACGAAAGUGUGACGCAGCAACGCCGCGUGGAGGAAGAAGGCUCUCGGGUCGUAAACUCCUUUCAGUUGGGACGAAGCUUCGUCGGUUAAUAGCCGGCUGGAGUGACGGUACCUUCACAAGAAGCACCGGCUAACUACGUGCCAGCAGCCGCGGUAAUACGUAGGGUGCAAGCGUUGUCCGGAAUCAUUGGGCGUAAAGAGCGUGUAGGCGGCCCGAUUAGUCCGCUGUGAAAGUCCAGGGCUCAACCCUGGAAUGCCGGUGGAUACUGUCGGGCUCGAGUCCGGAAGAGGCGAGUGGAAUUCCUGGUGUAGCGGUGAAAUGCGCAGAUAUCAGGAAGAACACCAACGGCGAAGGCAGCUCGCUGGGACGGUACUGACGCUGAGACGCGAAAGCGUGGGGAGCAAACAGGAUUAGAUACCCUGGUAGUCCACGCCGUAAACGAUGGGUACUAGGUGUGGGGGUGUCGACUCCCCCGUGCCGAGCUACGCAUAGUACCCGCCUGGGGNGACGCGCGAGAACGUAACUACAANAGUAGUUGACGGCGUUGNGACGNGCCGACGGCGACGACGAGGGAGGAGG
Molecule: ribosomal RNA, 616 nt
Filed under: uncultured bacterium
Lineage: Bacteria
Description: bacterial SSU rRNA
Rfam family: Bacterial small subunit ribosomal RNA (bases 1-537)
Source: RNAcentral